GACUGGAUAGCCUAGUGGUUUAGGCAUCACAUCCAAGUUGUGUCCUGGUUAAGGGUCCUUGGUUUGAAUCCAAGUCUAGUCA
Molecule: transfer RNA, 82 nt
Filed under: Endocronartium harknessii PhW48OC
Lineage: Eukaryota; Fungi; Basidiomycota; Pucciniomycetes; Pucciniales; Coleosporiaceae
Description: tRNA-Und (NNN) (tRNA-Und-NNN-9-1)
Rfam family: tRNA
About the family: Transfer RNA (tRNA) molecules are approximately 80 nucleotides in length. Their secondary structure includes four short double-helical elements and three loops (D, anti-codon, and T loops).
Source: RNAcentral